Molecule: ribosomal RNA, 252 nt
Filed under: uncultured bacterium
Lineage: Bacteria
Description: partial 16S ribosomal RNA
Rfam family: Bacterial small subunit ribosomal RNA
Source: RNAcentral
UACGGGGGGGCAAGCGUUGUUCGGAAUUACUGGGCGUAAAGGGCUCGUAGGUGGCCAACUAAGUCAGACGUGAAAUCCCUCAGCUUAACUGGGGAACUGCGUCUGAUACUGGAUGGCUUGAGUUUGGGAGAGGGACGCGGAAUUCCAGGUGUAGCGGUGAAAUGCGUAGAUAUCUGGAGGAACACCGGAUGGCGAAGGCGGCGUCCUGGACCAACACUGACACUGAGGAGCGAAAGCCAGGGAGCAAACGGG